RNAcentral lists this ribosomal RNA (750 nucleotides) under uncultured bacterium. RNAcentral's name for it is "bacterial SSU rRNA". It matches the Rfam family "Bacterial small subunit ribosomal RNA", at positions 43 to 783 of the family's 1533-position model. The record is from RNAcentral.
CAGGCCUAACACAUGCAAGUCGAGCGGACUUAUCCUUCGGGAUAGGUUAGCGGCGGACGGGUGAGUAACACGUAGGCAACCUGCCUGUAAGAUCGGGAUAACUACCGGAAACGGUAGCUAAGACCGGAUAGCUGGUUUCUCCGCAUGGGGGAAUCAUGAAACACGGGGCAACCUGUGGCUUACGGAUGGGCCUGCGGCGCAUUAGCUAGUUGGUGGGGUAACGGCCCACCAAGGCGACGAUGCGUAGCCGACCUGAGAGGGUGAUCGGCCACACUGGGACUGAGACACGGCCCAGACUCCUACAGGAGGCAGCAGUAGGGAAUCUUCCGCAAUGGGCGCAAGCCUGACGGAGCAACGCCGCGUGAGUGAUGAAGGUUUUCGGAUCGUAAAGCUCUGUUGCCAAGGAAGAACGCCUCGGAGAGUAACUGCUCUGAGGGUGACGGUACUUGAGAAGAAAGCCCCGGCUAACUACGUGCCAGCAGCCGCGGUAAUACGUAGGGGGCAAGCGUUGUCCGGAAUUAUUGGGCGUAAAGCGCGCGCAGGCGGUCUUUUAAGUUUGGUGUUUAAGCCCGGGGCUCAACCCCGGUUCGCACUGAAAACUGGGAGACUUGAGUGCAGGAGAGGAAAGCGGAAUUCCACGUGUAGCGGUGAAAUGCGUAGAGAUGUGGAGGAACACCAGUGGCGAAGGCGGCUUUCUGGACUGUAACUGACGCUGAGGCGCGAAAGCGUGGGGAGCAAACAGGAUUAGAU